RNAcentral lists this ribosomal RNA (441 nucleotides) under uncultured bacterium. RNAcentral describes it as "partial 16S ribosomal RNA". It matches the Rfam family "Bacterial small subunit ribosomal RNA", at positions 338 to 795 of the family's 1533-position model. The record is from RNAcentral.
CCUACGGGGGGCAGCAGUGGGGGAUAUUGCACAAUGGGGGAAACCCUGAUGCAGCGACGCCGCGUGGGUGAAGAAGUAUUUCGGUAUGUAAAGCCCUAUCAGCAGGGAAGAAAGAAGACGGUACCUGACUAAGAAGCCCCGGCUAACUACGUGCCAGCAGCCGCGGUAAUACGUAGGGGGCGAGCGUUAUCCGGAUUCACUGGGUGUAAAGGGAGCGUAGACGGCCGGGCAAGCCAGGAGUGAAAGCCCGGGGCCCAACCCCGGGACUGCUCUUGGAACUGGGCGGCUGGAGUGCGGGAGGGGCAGGCGGAAUUCCUGGUGUAGCGGUGAAAUGCGUAGAUAUCAGGAGGAACACCGGCGGCGAAGGCGGCCUGCUGGACCGCGACUGACGUUGAGGCUCGAGAGCGUGGGGAGCGAACAGGAUUAGAUACCCUUGUAGUC